RNAcentral lists this transfer RNA (76 nucleotides) under Prochlorococcus marinus str. MIT 1312. RNAcentral describes it as "tRNA-Arg". It matches the Rfam family "tRNA". Rfam says of the family: Transfer RNA (tRNA) molecules are approximately 80 nucleotides in length. Their secondary structure includes four short double-helical elements and three loops (D, anti-codon, and T loops). Further hydrogen bonds mediate the characteristic L-shaped molecular structure. tRNAs have two regions of fundamental functional importance: the anti-codon, which is responsible for specific mRNA codon recognition, and the 3' end, to which the tRNAs corresponding amino acid is attached (by aminoacyl-tRNA synthetases). tRNAs cope with the degeneracy of the genetic code in two manners: having more than one tRNA (with a specific anti-codon) for a particular amino acid; and 'wobble' base-pairing, i.e. permitting non-standard base-pairing at the 3rd anti-codon position. The record is from RNAcentral. RNAcentral also lists the same sequence under 2 other names. Lineage: Bacteria; Bacillati; Cyanobacteriota; Cyanophyceae; Synechococcales; Prochlorococcaceae.
UGCUCCCUUAGCUCAGCUGGAUAGAGCAACUGCCUUCUAAGCAGUCGGUCGAUGGUUCGAAUCCAUCAGGGGGCGU